UUCUCUUGAGUUAAGAACACCAACAAUAUUCUUACUCGUCUUUCUCUUGUAAUUGAAAUUAUAAAAACCAAUUAAAACAUGAUGCAAUGCAUGACUCCAGAAACUGAACACGAACAGCAGCCUUAAGUUCAUGCAAACUCUAACAUUUACACUUCAAAACUUCAUCAUGCUCAUCAACCAUCUUAGAACACAAACACAUCAAAACCCUCAACAUGCAUCAUCUUCAACCUCAAACUUUCAUAAAA
This 245-nucleotide long non-coding RNA is filed under the name Salvia miltiorrhiza (redroot sage). RNAcentral describes it as "long non-coding RNA (SMIL_LNC000953)". The record is from RNAcentral. Lineage: Eukaryota; Viridiplantae; Streptophyta; Magnoliopsida; Lamiales; Lamiaceae.